RNAcentral lists this ribosomal RNA (497 nucleotides) under uncultured bacterium. RNAcentral's name for it is "partial 16S ribosomal RNA". It matches the Rfam family "Bacterial small subunit ribosomal RNA", at positions 28 to 507 of the family's 1533-position model. The record is from RNAcentral.
GGUGAACGCUGGCGGCGUGCCUAAUACAUGCAAGUCGAGCGAACAGACGAGGAGCUUGCUCCUCUGACGUUAGCGGCGGACGGGUGAGUAACACGUGGAUAACCUACCUAUAGGACUGGGAUAACUUCGGGAAACCGGAGCUAAUACCGGAUAAUAUAUUGAACCGCAUGGUUCAAUAGUGAAAGACGGUUUUGCUGUCACUUAUAGAUGGAUCCGCGCCGCAUUAGCUAGUUGGUAAGGUAACGGCUUACCAAGGCAACGAUGCGUAGCCGACCUGAGAGGGUGAUCGGCCACACUGGAACUGAGACACGGUCCAGACUCCUACGGGAGGCAGCAGUAGGGAAUCUUCCGCAAUGGGCGAAAGCCUGACGGAGCAACGCCGCGUGAGUGAUGAAGGUCUUCGGAUCGUAAAACUCUGUUAUUAGGGAAGAACAAAUGUGUAAGUAACUAUGCACGUCUUGACGGUACCUAAUCAGAAAGCCACGGCUAACUACGUG